CUGUCUCCCUCUUUUGCACCUCUGUGCUGUAUUCUGGUUGAUGUAUUAAUAAGAAUACAAAAAAAGUAAUUAACAAAGCAAAAAUAAAUUUACGUAGGUGUGCCUGCUCUCUCUCGGGUAUGUUUUUUUUCUGCCAAUCAUUUUUAAUCCACUUUAAUAGUAGUUAGCUUUUGAUUAUAUAAAUUUAAUUUGUUGUGAUGAAGUUUGAUUAUUUUUAAAUUGGGGUUGGUCUAUAAGCUUAAUUAGGGGUUAAUGUUAGUGAAAUUAGCGUCUGUGUUGUGAGAAAUUAGAUCUAUUUGAGAAUUUUGAGUUAUUCUUUGCAAUUGAGGUACUAGGUUUUAUCCUUUUUUUUUAAUAGUUUUGGGAGAUUGACAGCUUAAUUUGGGUUAGUGUUGGGCCCUUUUCUUUUGGUUCUGGGAGACUUGUAGCUUGGUUAGGGUUCAAUGUUAGUAAGACGUCCAUUAGUUUGUGUUUUUUUACUUAUUGCUUUAGAAUUAUGGUGCUAAAUUUUACAUAAUUUUGGGUUUUGUUGAUAUGGGUUCAGCAUGGUUUACAACCUGCAACAUAUAGGAGAGAGUGUAUUAUUUUACCCUCUAUUUUUCACUUCCAAGAUGGAAAUCCAGAGAAAUUGUUACUCUUUGAUUACAUAACAAAAGGAUUUCAAAGUGUUCAAUUUCUAGGUUCUUAUAACUCCAGAACCCAAGUUGAAAGAACCUCCCUUUAGUACCAUCUAAAACCAUCGUUAAGUUCGAGUGUCCUCCCAAGUGUAGGGACAUUUAGUUAGUCCCAGUCCAAAAUGUUUUAGUUUCUAUCAAAAAUAACCUCUUUACCUAAUAGUCGUAGGGUCUGCAUACGCACUACCCUUCUGGGACCCCAUUUGUUGGAACCACAUGGGGUAUGUUGUUGUAUUACUCCAAUUUCAAAUAAUAUUUGAUAAAUAUCACUAUGAGUGAAAUCUUCAUAUCCAUACAAAGCACAACAUUAGCACAAGAAAAGUUCAAAUCUUUAACAUUUCGAAAGUAACAUAGGUGUUCCAAAGUAUUUUCUCCAGUUUGCUAAAGUAAGAAUUUAUUGUAUGUUAUUGCUUUUUAUCACUUAAUUGUUUCUUAUUAUUUUUACAAAGUUCUAAUCGAGUAAAUAAUUUGCAAUCUCUUUUGCAGAUUGUCAAAGAAGCUUGUACUAAUCUUUUGCCAAACUUGCUGUGUGAAUAUCCUUAUAAUAUAUCUGAAGACUUCACUAAAUUCUCUAUCAACUGUCAAGUAUGAAAUUUUCCUAGCAUCAAAUAAAGUAAACCAGAGAAAUGCUGAAACAAAUACUAUGCACCCCAAUAAACCGGUGGCUAAAGUUGCUAUAGACCAGCUGUAACCACCAGUGAAACACCAAAUAAUUAAAGUUCAUCAUCUAAGAUUCAUGAAAAUCUUCAAGAAUGGUGAAGAUAUUGCAUAUAUAGAAACCACCAAGGGGUAUUGUAGGAUGAUUAAGAUCCAGCUAGGAGAAAAAGAGGUUAGCUUAAAUUGGUAAUUUAGCCAAAGGGGGAACAUGCAUCGAUUGGAUCAUUUAGAAUAGUUGUUCCAAUCCAAAUGUCUACCCCAGCAUAAAGAUCUUACACACCACAUCUACAUAAGAAGUGUAGUCUCCCCUUAGCUAACCUCUUUGACGCGAACUUAGAUCAGUUAGGCUAAAUGACUUUGGAUACCAGAUAAUUAAACUAAUAGAAGUAGCUGUCGUGUAGUAUAAAUAUGUUAUUUGAUUUGAUAGAUUGCAUUCAGAAACAUAUUUCGGAACUUUGUAGGUCAUUGGCUCGACUGAGGAAACAAGAAGACUCUUACUGUGUGAGGCAACAAUAGCUGUCAUAAGAAAGUGUUCCCAUCUGUUGGGUAUCACUACUGUUUACAAGAUUUAACAUCCAUAUGAUUUAGUUGUUUUUGUACUCUUUUUUUCUUCAUUAAAUUAGUACUGAGAUGAACUGUAUUUGAAUAGAGUAAACCUAUUACAUAAUUUUAUCAUAUUUGAUUUUCACUCAUAAGUUCUAAAAAUAUUUGUACAGCACAAAGCCACAUAUAUAUAGCCAUGUCCCUAUAUUUUCUUGAAAUUAGCACUCUAUUUCUUGAAGUUAGUGGGUAGUCAAGCAUUUGUAUAGUUCCUUUCUAAUAUUAAGCUAAAAUCUAUCUAUUUUGUACAUGUAUCCAAUGACUGUUCAUUUGGGAUAUUGAGUUGAAAAAGUGUCCGUUUAGACUUUGGACUCCUCAAUUGACAAGUAAAUAUUUCAACUGUGAUUAUACAUAUCUAAACACCUUAACUCGUCUCCACUAGAUCAAUUGAACACACCAACUUAAAAAAUGAUCAUCUAAAUCUCUCUAAAAUUUUUGUGUGUGUCACAUGAAUAUUAGGUGUCUACGAGACACAGGCAGAGAUGAGUUGGAGUGUGUAGUUUGUAGUUAAGAGUAAAUUAAGAUGUCUAAAUGUGCAUAUUCAGUGUUUUCUUUCAAAUAUGGAUUAUCUUACUAUUUAGUGGUAGUGAUUGUUUCAUUUUAGUAUGCUUUAUCAUGCUUCAUUUGGCAAUUUUGUCUUGGCUUUCACUAUUUUCUUUUCUGAAUAGCUUUGUAAUGCUUUUAAUUGAGUUUAGGGUCUAUCAAAAAUAACCUCUAUACCUUAUAGGGGUAAGGUCUACGUACACACUACCUUCCCUAGGCUCCAUUUGUGAGAUUACACUGGGUAUGUUGUUGUUUCUGUAGUCUGGUUUGUGUAUUAUGCUAUGAGCACAUUUCUUAUAAUUGCAUUGGUGCAUUAGGAAUCAAUAUGUAUGAGGUUUUGGGAGAUAAAGUGUAAGACCCCGCAAAAUUCUCUUAUAGCUGAGCCUUAGAGCGUGUUCAGCGAAGUGUAAAUCCAGCCCUAAAAGGUUGAGAAGUGUCUUUCCAAGUGAGAAAUAUUUUGAACCACAUAGAAUUUCCCUAAUAUUGACUUUUUAUCAUGUAGAUAAUUGAAUAUUCUUUCCGUCAAUACCAAUUUCAUUAAAAUCCAACACCGAAUGAGGAAGUUAUGGCCAUUUUACUGAAAGCAGUUGGAACCGCCCAGGUGCGACGGCUGGGUUGACGGACCGUCGAGCUUACUUCAGACCUUCGCCCAUACUUUUGCAACCAAAGCAGUGACUGGCCUAAGUGCAACAGCCAAGAUGAUGGACCGUCAAGACUAUGAUAGACCGUCACUGGGAUCGUCGCCGCUGAGACCGUCACUGGGAUCGUCGCCGCUGAGGCUGUGUGGCCUCAUCCUGACCAACGUGCGAUGGAUGAUCAGACGACCCAUCAGGUUUGUGACAGACCAUUGCUGAGACCAUCGCAUCGAGGAAAUAUGUUCUUUUUCUAACCGAUGUGCGAUGGACAAUCUGACAGACCGUUAGACUAAGCGACGGACCGUCGCUUCGACAGUCGCAGCCCCCGUUCAGCAUUUUAAACUCAUUUUAAAAAGGACUUUUUUUUCACUUUUUCAGCCCCUAUUUAUACCCGAAAGGAUCACAACUUUAUUUCUCCUCUUCAAUAUCAAAAUCUAGGGUUUCUACAAAAUGAAAACCCUUCUUUCUUCUUU
This 3582-nucleotide long non-coding RNA is filed under the name Capsicum annuum. RNAcentral describes it as "long non-coding RNA (CANN_LNC011204)". Lineage: Eukaryota; Viridiplantae; Streptophyta; Magnoliopsida; Solanales; Solanaceae. The record is from RNAcentral.